RNAcentral lists this ribosomal RNA (496 nucleotides) under uncultured bacterium. Its description in RNAcentral is "partial 16S ribosomal RNA". It matches the Rfam family "Bacterial small subunit ribosomal RNA", at positions 28 to 506 of the family's 1533-position model. The record is from RNAcentral.
GAUGAACGCUGGCGGCGUGCCUAAUACAUGCAAGUCGAGCGAACAGAUGAGGAGCUUGCUCCUCUGACGUUAGCGGCGGACGGGUGAGUAACACGUGGAUAACCUACCUAUAAGACUGGGAUAACUUCGGGAAACCGGAGCUAAUACCGGAUAAUAUAUUGAACCGCAUGGUUCAAUAGUGAAAGACGGUUUUGCUGUCACUUAUAGAUGGAUCCGCGCCGCAUUAGCUAGUUGGUAAGGUAACGGCUUACCAAGGCAACGAUGCGUAGCCGACCUGAGAGGUUGAUCGGCCACACUGGAACUGAGACACGGUCCAGACUCCUACGGGAGGCAGCAGUAGGGAAUCUGCCGCAAUGGGCGAAAGCCUGACGGAGCAACGCCGCGUGAGUGAUGAAGGUCUUCGGAUCGUAAAACGCUGUUAUUAGGGAAGAACAAAUGUGUAAGUAACUAUGCACGUCUGGACGGUACCUAAGCAGAAAGCCACGGCUAACUACGU